RNAcentral lists this transfer RNA (97 nucleotides) under Aurantiacibacter arachoides. RNAcentral describes it as "tRNA-Glu". The record is from RNAcentral. Lineage: Bacteria; Pseudomonadati; Pseudomonadota; Alphaproteobacteria; Sphingomonadales; Erythrobacteraceae.
GCUGGCCUGCGCGGCCGGGCCAGCGACCGCGCCUUCAGCGUGGCGGGCCGUGACUAUCCGCGCGGCAGCGUCGUGUUCAGCCGCGCGGAGAACGGCG